This 334-nucleotide long non-coding RNA is filed under the name Elaeis guineensis (African oil palm). RNAcentral's name for it is "long non-coding RNA (EGUI_LNC053816)". Lineage: Eukaryota; Viridiplantae; Streptophyta; Magnoliopsida; Arecales; Arecaceae. The record is from RNAcentral.
UUCGAAUAUAUUAUCAAGAAUGUAUCACAUAACUCUCCUCAAUAAAGCUCCUAUUUUUUCAAAAAUUAUGAUUUCUUCCCUGCUCAUCAACUCACGAUCACGAAAAAUUCGAAGGAGCCUUUGAUCGAUUUUAAUAUGAGAUGGCCUUUGAUCGGCUCAACUGAAGAAGCUUUUGAUCGACUUUGAAACAAGACGGCCUUUGAUCGGUUUUAAAAUGAGACAACCUUCGAUUGAUCCAACUGAAGGAGCCUUUGAUCAGUUUUAAAUUCAAAUAAGAUCUCUAAUCGGACUAACAGAAGAAUAGUUAUCAAAUGAAAACAAACACAUACGCACG